AUCAAUCAUGAUUUACAAUGUCUAAGUGAUUUUAUUCAAUUAAAAGCAAAAACUUUCAACAACGGAUCUCUUGGUUCUGGCAUCGAUGAAGAACGCAGCGAAAUGCGAUAAGUAAUGCGAAUUGCAGAAUUCCAGUGAGUCAUCGAAUCUUUGAACGC
Molecule: ribosomal RNA, 158 nt
Filed under: Fonsecaea monophora
Lineage: Eukaryota; Fungi; Ascomycota; Eurotiomycetes; Chaetothyriales; Herpotrichiellaceae
Description: 5.8S ribosomal RNA
Rfam family: 5.8S ribosomal RNA (bases 51-158)
About the family: 5.8S ribosomal RNA (5.8S rRNA) is a component of the large subunit of the eukaryotic ribosome. It is transcribed by RNA polymerase I as part of the 45S precursor that also contains 18S and 28S rRNA.
Source: RNAcentral